Phoenix dactylifera (date palm) is the source of this 4460-nucleotide non-coding RNA. The record is from RefSeq and is a predicted model, not a curated record. Lineage: Eukaryota; Viridiplantae; Streptophyta; Magnoliopsida; Arecales; Arecaceae.
GAAGGAUUCACCUUCCUUCGCGCGAAUCCACCGUUGGAUCGUGCUACGGUUGCCUAUAAAUAGGCAGUCCGGGAUCCACCAAUGCGUUUGGAAUGCUUUGAUAUCUGUGCAGGGUACAACGAUCAAUGUCGAGAAAGAAUAUCGAUCAUUCUUUCUCCUGUCAAUCCCGUCGCUCCCCUUCCCCGUGGUUUCUUUCCCCUUCGAUCAGAACCCUCGAAACCCUAACGCGGGAACGAUUCUUGGAUCAAAAAUGUUCGCGUAUUCAAGAUCUGAGAGGCAGCGGCAGAGGCUGCGUGUGUACGAGUAUCGACCACCCAGAUACCACGGGUUCUUUCUUAGGGCUUUUCUGUUUCUUUUCGUGUUCAAUUCUUCCGCUACCCUCUUCAAGAACCGAUUUUUUCUUGAAGUUCUGUUGAAAUCUUUCUUGCGAUGGAGUUUGGGCAGUUUGAUUUCUUGUCGUGUUCAAUGCUUCCGGUACUCUCUUCAAGAAUUAGGUUCUUGAAGUUUCUUGAAAUCUUUGUUGCAAAACUGAGCAGGAUGUUUCAAUUUCUUUUGUGCUUAGUGCUUUGGUGCAUAGGCUUAUGUAAUGCUAGCCAGUUAUAAUUUUUUUCCUUUUUUGUCUUUUUGCAUGUUCUUCAAGAUUCCUUGUACUUGGUGGUUGAGGUGCAGGCCAUGCUCUAGAAAGAAGUUUGGUAUCAGCUGUGGGGUGGGAGAAAUAUGAAAUACUUAAUAUUGAGGCAAUGCGAGUAUUAUACAAGAUGGAAAAAUUGUUCCAGAUGGCUGCUAUUGAUGUAUAUCGCAGAUGGAAUUGGGAUAUAGAGUGUUUACUCUCAGAAAUUAUUUAUGUCUUUCUUUAUUUCUUCUUUAUUUCAGUUAAUUUAGUUUUUCUUGGCAUUCCUCGGCAUGCUAUUGGUAUUAACUAUUCACAUACCUUAGUAAGAUGGUACUUUCUCAGGGUUCGUGUUUUCUAGAGGAUUCCUACCUGCAACUAUGUAAACAGCUUCAAAUCCUUUUUUAUUUUAUUCAUUCAUUUGUUCAUUCAUUCAUUUAUCUUUUGCAUUUGAGUGUAACGUCAAGCAGUAUCUCGAAUAGCAGUUAUCAUGUUGGGAAUAUUACUGAUUCAGUGCAACUUCUAUUUCUUACUUCCAUGAAAGAAAAAAAAUGAAGUUUUUUGAGUUAUAUCUGUAGGAUGUUUUCAGAUUAGGAAAAUAUAACUUGAGACUAACCCUGAUGGACUUCAUAUGCACUUCUUUUGCCUCGGUAUCUUGAAGAGGCAGGUUGGGCUGAAGGUGGUCGGGUUUAUAGCUUUCACCCAACCAAUGUGAUUAUUGCUAUCAUGUUUCCGACUGGCUAUCUAUUUGUGUACUUCAAACUAUUUGUUUCCAGACCUCUGCUUUCUGACUUCUAGUGCCUGAAGAAAGAAUGUCUUGGCUGCUGGCCUUUGGGAGUGGUAUAUUGCUGAAAUCAUUCCAUUGUCUUGAAAACUGCAUGCCAUUAUAGUUUUUCAGUUCUUCAAUCUUGUAGCUGUAUGUUCAUUGGGCUGUUUGGUCUUGAUAUUUUGUUAUUGAGAGCUCACUGGCAUUUUUCUUUGUUGGACUUGGUGCUUGUGCGCUAUCAUAUCCUUUGCACUAAGUUUUACCUGCUGUGCUGUUUCUUGUGUUAUUUGACAGAUUGAUGGUCUUGAUUGUACAAAAACAAAUUCUUCAAGUUCUUGAGAGCUCGGAAAAUUUGUAAACAUCCUUUUGCAACACAAGACCUUCAAAACACUUAAUAAAGGAAACAGUUUAGGGAACUUUUGCAUGUUAUUUGCCUUUUUGACCAUCAAACACUUAGUAGUUACAAUUAACACUGAUACUCUUGUUUCAAGACAUUAACAGGUAAUUUGUUAUAGUAUACUUUGAUUUGCUGUAUCCCAGGGCAGUUAUUUUUAUACCAUAUUUACAGUAUGUUUCCUCACUAGUAGCCGGAGAUAUGGGAAUCAAACUUGGGAAGGGGUUGGAUAUGCUAUUUAUUCUAACAUCAAACAAAUCCUGUAUGACCUCUUCCAUUUUUUGGCCAUUGGCAUUCUCUUUGGUUAAAUAUUGCUUUAAAUUCUGCAGCUCUAGGCUUGUGCUAUUAGACCCCUUCAAAUGGACACAAGGUUAUUAGCUUUCUACUUUACUUGGGGUAUGGUUGAAUGAGGAGUUUUCUCCUAGAUUUGGUGGUAUUUGCUUUUUUCUCUCCAUGUGUAUUGUCGCAGAGUGUGACCAAGAUCAAAUUUCUAACUGAUGGGUUGUUGCUUAGAGAAAUGAUGGAUGAUCCUCUUUUAAUCAAGUAAGGUGGUGGUUACAAUUCAAAUGUAGAUGCUUUCCUUUCUCAUAUGCAUUUAGUUGGUGAAAUAAAAAAAUGCAUUAUUUUGAUUCUUUCUUAAUUCUCUAUUAAUUUUGUAUAAAAUUAUAAAAUUCAUGAUCGAACAAGACUUAAACUAACUGCAUGGUAGUGGCUAGGGGUGCAAAUGAGCCGAGCAGCUUGCAAGCUGCUCGAGCUCGACUUGGGUCCGAGCUUAAGUCGACUCAAUUGCUACCGAGCUCGAGUAGCUCGAAUAAUUUUUUGAGUCGAACUCAAGUAGCAAAAUGCUUGGCUUGAAGGCUCGUUGUCCUAGUCGAGUAUCUAUAUUUUUAAUAAUAUUAUAUUUUAUUUAUAAUAUAUAUUAUUAAUUUAAUAUUUUAAAAUAUAAUAUAAUAUUUAUUUUGUUUUAAUUAUAUUUUUAAAUUAUGACCAAGGCUUGAAUUUGAGAUCAAAAUCAAGCUCGAGUAUGGCUCAGUUGAUAUUCGAGUCAAGUCCAGUCGACCUUGAGUAUUAUUUUUUUUUUUUUUAUCGAGUUGACCUUGAGCCUCCAGCUACUCAACUCGACCCAGCUCGAUUGCACCCCUAGUGGUGGCUCUAUGAGUUUUUCUUCACCAUACAUUCUUAAAGGGGAUGCAUACACUAUCAUCACCAGUCUUUCUAUCCUUUAAUGGUGAAAGUUGAGACAUCUCAUUUUACCAUGAUGCCAUCAUGCAUUCAUCACUCAUGUGGAUGCAUUCUUACUCAGUUUACCUCCUGAUUGUCUGUUGCAAGUUGCCUUUACAAUUGCACCAUGUCUCACACCUGACGUCAGCAUGCCACUACAUAUUGUACUCACCAUUUUACAAUCUUUGUUGCUCAUCUUCUGUGCUUUUCUCUUUUUUGUAGCCUAAUAUUCUGAUUCAUACAACAGUUUGCCUCUUUUUAUUGCGCAGAAAGUUUUUUGCACCAAUGUUAAAGGCAUGCAUUGGUGAUAUAACACUGGGAAUCAUGAAUGCUGCUCUUUUCUUUUCUAGAUGGGCUAAAUAAUUGUGUAAUUUCUCAUUCUAGCAAUGCCAUGAUAUGAUCAUCAUGUCUCUAGAUGAUCUAAGUAAUUGUAGAAAUUUAUCAUGCUAAUAAUACCAUGAUAUGAUCAUCAUGUUUCUCUGUCAAAGUUUUGUAGUUUUUUCUGUUACCAGUAUCUCUUUAUUUGACCUUUCCAAGCAUAUGAACUUCUCUUCUGUUUGGCAUCAGAAACUACUCCUUCCUUUUUUGUGGUUUUGGAGGGUUUUGAGCAAUUUGUUCAUUAAUCCUCUAUCUCUUUAUCUUCUCUUAUAUUAGUGCCAUAAGGGUAGAUGAGGUCCACGAAAGAUCUCAUUCAACAGACAUGUUACCAGAUUCAAUUCCUUAGACCUGAGUUGCUCGUAAUCAUUUCAUCUGCAACAAUUGAGGCAAAUUCUGUGUCAACCUCUUUCAGUAUUGGGUCCUCUCCUGAUCUAAAUAUACCAGAUUCAUUGCCAUAAAUCUGGGUUGUUUAUAAUUGUUUCAUCUGCAGCAAUUCCGUGUUAUGUCUUCUCCUGAUCUAGUUAGGGCAUGGAUGAGGACGCAUGUGAAAUUGCUUUGAAAUCCCAACAUCCUACCCUAUGUGGCAACAUAAUCUAUGACCCACCUCAUUGCUUCCAUUUUCGUACUGAUGAUAUUGUGGUUCUCACCUCACCGCCCUAUUACAGACAUCCCAUCCAUCUCUAAGAUCCAUAGGGAUUUUGAAUGAUGGACGGGCUUCGACAUCCUCUCAACCUUUUAGACUUUGCAAUGAUUCUGCUCAUGAAAUGGGAUUUUCUAAAGUUACUCCAUAGGGUGUAUGCCUUUUCUUUUAUUGGUGCAAUAUUGCACCCACUACCCUUGGGACUGUGUUUUUUUAUUUUUUAUGUUGUAGGUGCAACAUGACAUGUCACUAAGUUCGUAGCUUUAGAAAGUCAAUUUGAUUUGAAAAUCGGAGGUCAUGGCUUUAUUGAUUUCCCAUCAAACGUCAGAGCAGUGUUUUUUUUUUUUUUUGGUACAUAUUAAUCUUGCAUAAGCACGGCUACCUGAAUGAAUGAAAAAAAAGCCGAGGAACAGAAUCAUACUGAGUUGAGGCGACCCAAUCAGCAGCUUUG